AACGCGAAGAACCUUACCUGGGCUUGAACCGCACAGGACCAUCUUUGGAAACAGAGACUUCCCGCAAGGGACCUGUGUAGAGGUGCUGCAUGGCUGUCGUCAGCUCGUGCCGUGAGGUGUUGGGUUAAGUCCCGCAACGAGCGCAACCCUUACUCGUAGUUGCCACCCGCAAGGGGGAACUCUACGAGGACUGCUCCGGAUAACGGAGAGGAAGGUGGGGAUGAGGUCAAGUCAGCAUGGCCUUUAUGUCCAGGGCUACACACGUGUUACAAUGCGCGCUACAAAGCGUUGCAAACCCGCGAGGGGGAGCUAAUCGCAAAAAAGCGCGCUCAGUUCGGAUUGCAGUCUGCAACUCGACUGCAUGAAGCCGGAAUCGCUAGUAAUGGCGCAUCAGAACGGCGCCGUGAAUACGUUCCCGGGCCUUGUACACACCGCGCAUA
RNAcentral lists this ribosomal RNA (440 nucleotides) under uncultured bacterium. Its description in RNAcentral is "bacterial SSU rRNA". It matches the Rfam family "Bacterial small subunit ribosomal RNA", at positions 958 to 1398 of the family's 1533-position model. The record is from RNAcentral.